Molecule: ribosomal RNA, 403 nt
Filed under: Fusobacteriota bacterium
Lineage: Bacteria; Fusobacteriati; Fusobacteriota
Description: Fusobacteria bacterium partial 16S ribosomal RNA
Rfam family: Bacterial small subunit ribosomal RNA
Source: RNAcentral
UGGGGAAUCUUGCACAAUGGGGGAAACCCUGAUGCAGCGACGCCGCGUGAGCGAUGAAGGUUUUCGAAUCGUAAAGCUCUGUCCUAUGGGAAGAUAAUGACGGUACCAUGGGAGGAAGCCCCGGCUAACUACGUGCCAGCAGCCGCGGUAAUACGUAGGGGGCGAGCGUUGUCCGGAAUUACUGGGCGUAAAGGGUUCGCAGGCGGCAUGGCAAGUCCGAUGUAAAAGGCGAAGGCUCAACCUUCGUAAGCAUCGGAAACUGUCAAGCUUGAGUGAAGGCGAGGCAAGUGGAAUUCCUAGUGUAGCGGUGGAAUGCGUAGAUAUUAGGAGGAAUACCGGUGGCGCAGGCGACUUGCUGGACUUCAACUGACGCUGAGGAACGAAAGCGUGGGUAGCAAACAGG